Molecule: non-coding RNA, 408 nt
Organism: Salvelinus fontinalis (brook trout)
Lineage: Eukaryota; Metazoa; Chordata; Actinopteri; Salmoniformes; Salmonidae
Source: the annotation of a RefSeq genome assembly
UCCUUCAACACAACAGAAACCACGACAACCAUGACUCUGAUCACCAUCUUCAUCUGGACACUGGUCUGCUGCUGCCUCAAAGGAUCCAGAGGUCAGGUGACUGUGACUCAGUCUCCUGUAGUGACAUUUUCUCCAGGAGACCCCGUCACUCUGACCUGUAGAACCAACCCUAAAGUGUACAAAUACAGUGAUGGAGAUGAGGGUGCAUUCUGGUAUCAACAGAGACCUGGAGAAGCUCCUAAACUCCUUAUAAGAUAUGCAAAGAAACUGCAAGGUGGGAUUCCUGCUAGAUUCAGUGGCAGUGGGUCUGAGAGUGACUUCACUCUGACCAUCAGUGGAGUCCAGGCUGAAGAUGCAGCAGUUUACUACUGUAAGAGUUUCCACAGUGGUAAUGUGUUCACACAGUGA